RNAcentral lists this ribosomal RNA (545 nucleotides) under bacterium amp-d-28. RNAcentral's name for it is "partial 16S ribosomal RNA". It matches the Rfam family "Bacterial small subunit ribosomal RNA", at positions 52 to 593 of the family's 1533-position model. The record is from RNAcentral.
CACAUGCAGUCGACGGCAGCAUGAUCUAGCUUGCUAGAUUGAUGGCGAGUGGCGAACGGGUGAGUAAUACAUCGGAACGUGCCCUGUAGUGGGGGAUAACUAGUCGAAAGAUUAGCUAAUACCGCAUACGACCUGAGGGUGAAAGUGGGGGACCGCAAGGCCUCAUGCUAUAGGAGCGGCCGAUGUCUGAUUAGCUAGUUGGUGAGGUAAAGGCUCACCAAGGCGACGAUCAGUAGCUGGUCGGAGAAAACAACAAACCAUAGUGGAACUGAGGCCCGCCCCACACUCCUACGGGAGGUCGCGGUGUGUUUUUUUGGAGGAGCCUCAACCUCUCCAGCCAUGCGUUGUGUAUAGAAGCGGGCCUUUGGUUGUAUUUUUUUUUGUAAAAAAAGAAAUGGCUCUAGAAAAUGCGUGGCGGCUCGACUCCCCCAGCAAAAAGAAGCCCUGCUACCUCCCCGCCCGCCGCGGCGUAAAUUAGGUGGGUCCUUUUUUUAAUAUUAAUUACUGGGAGAAAGCGGGGGCGGGGGGGCUGCCCCAAAACCUAU